This is a long non-coding RNA of Gasterosteus aculeatus aculeatus (three-spined stickleback), 463 nucleotides long. The record is from Ensembl. Lineage: Eukaryota; Metazoa; Chordata; Actinopteri; Perciformes; Gasterosteidae.
CGCCGCUGAGAUUAAAACCUGAUGGAGGGUGUCUGAGCGAUGUGUGGAGGAAGGCUUUGAGAUGAGCUGAGGACACACACAGCGAGACUACAGCGAGACAUUUAACUUCGUCAGAGCGUAUCUGGACCUUUUGGCGACCUGGAGACGUUUUGGAAAAAGUCUCCGGGGAUCGUAGUUCCGUCUGGACCCGGCCCGGCCCAGCAGACACCUACCGCUUCCAAGGCCAUUGAUAUUCCCAUUUCUAUUGCUGUAAACAUUAAUGUGCAUCGCUAACUUUGUUUCUAACUUUGUGCUUUCUCGCCUCACAGGUUUCUAUGGAUCCUGGUUAUAUCUGGACCAUGUUCCUGCCUCCUACCGUGGCCCCGCUGACGCCUGCUGCUGCUCUCAUCAUCAUUACUAUUAUUAUUAGUAUUUUAAAAGUUAAUCAUGUUACAUCAUUACCCUUUCCUAAAGUCGUUGUGCU